This 557-nucleotide ribosomal RNA is filed under the name Clostridioides difficile. RNAcentral's name for it is "bacterial LSU rRNA". It matches the Rfam family "Bacterial large subunit ribosomal RNA", at positions 2366 to 2925 of the family's 2925-position model. Lineage: Bacteria; Bacillati; Bacillota; Clostridia; Peptostreptococcales; Peptostreptococcaceae. The record is from RNAcentral.
AGCUUGAUUGCAAGACAUACAGGUCGAGCAAGGAUGAAAAUCGGACUUAGUGAUCCGGUGGUUCUGCGUGGAAGGGCCAUCGCUCAACGGAUAAAAGCUACCCUGGGGAUAACAGGCUUAUCUCCCCCAAGAGUCCACAUCGACGGGGAGGUUUGGCACCUCGAUGUCGGCUCAUCACAUCCUGGGGCUGUAGUAGGUCCCAAGGGUUGGGCUGUUCGCCCAUUAAAGUGGUACGCGAGCGGGGUUCAGAACGUCGUGAGAAAGUUCGGUCCCUAUCCGUCGCAGGCGUAGGAAAUUUGAGAAGACCUGUCCGUAGUACGAGAGGACCGGGAUGGACGUACCUCUGGUGUACCAGUUGUUCUGCCAAGGGCAUGGCUGGGUAGCUAUGUACGGAAUGGAUAAGCGCUGAAAGCAUCUAAGCGCGAAGCCAACUUCAAGAUAAGAUUUCCCACCGCAAGGGUAAGACCCCAGAAAGACUAUCUGGUUGAUAGGUCGAAGGUGUAAGUGCAGCAAUGUAUUUAGCUUAUCGAUACUAAUAGGUCGAGGACUUGACCAAU